GCGUACUUAGCUCAAUGGUCAGAGCGUCACUCAUGAAUGCUGAGGUUGUGGGUUUGAGUCCCACAGUACACA
RNAcentral lists this transfer RNA (72 nucleotides) under Puccinia graminis f. sp. tritici. Its description in RNAcentral is "tRNA-Ser". It matches the Rfam family "tRNA". Rfam says of the family: Transfer RNA (tRNA) molecules are approximately 80 nucleotides in length. Their secondary structure includes four short double-helical elements and three loops (D, anti-codon, and T loops). The record is from RNAcentral. Lineage: Eukaryota; Fungi; Basidiomycota; Pucciniomycetes; Pucciniales; Pucciniaceae.